AUUGAACGCUGGCGGCAGGCCUAACACAUGCAAGUCGAGCGGAUGAAGGGAGCUUGCUCCUGGAUUCAGCGGCGGACGGGUGAGUAAUGCCUAGGAAUCUGCCUGGUGGUGGGGGAUAACGUCCGGAAACGGGCGCUAAUACCGCAUACGUCCUGAGGGAGAAAGUGGGGGAUCUUCGGACCUCACGCUAUCAGAUGAGCCUAGGCCGGAUUAGCUAGUUGGUGGGGUAAAGGCCUACCAAGGCGACGAUCCGUAACUGGUCUGAGAGGAUGAUCAGUCACACUGGAACUGAGACACGGUCCAGACUCCUACGGGAGGCAGCAGUGGGGAAUAUUGGACAAUGGGCGAAAGCCUGAUCCAGCCAUGCCGCGUGUGUGAAGAAGGUCUUCGGAUUGUAAAGCACUUUAAGUUGGGAGGAAGGGCAGUAAGUUAAUACCUUGCUGUUUUGACGUUACCAACAGAAUAAGCACCGGCUAACUUCGUG
This 484-nucleotide ribosomal RNA is filed under the name uncultured bacterium. RNAcentral's name for it is "partial 16S ribosomal RNA". It matches the Rfam family "Bacterial small subunit ribosomal RNA", at positions 30 to 507 of the family's 1533-position model. The record is from RNAcentral.